Non-coding RNA from Vicugna pacos (alpaca), 919 nucleotides. The record is from RefSeq and is a predicted model, not a curated record. NCBI's taxonomy places the organism in Eukaryota, Metazoa, Chordata, Mammalia, Artiodactyla, Camelidae.
GGCUGAGAACGAGGCCAUGCCUACGGCACGGUCCCAGCCGCCCCCUUCUUCCCACCCGGUUUCCACCCUCCUGGGCGUUCCCUGGAGAAGCCUCGGGGACCGCAGCCCCGGCGGCUCAUUUUACAGAUCUGGAGACUGAGGUCUGGGCCGAGGAAGAAACUCGCCAAGGUCACCCAUCCUGGAAGCUCAGCUCUUUAUGUGUGAUGACAGAUCCUUCGACACUCAGGCCAAGCUUUCGAGGAAGGUGUUGGCAUGCCCAUUUGACAGAUGGAAAGAUGGAUAUACAGAGAAGACACUGCAUCACACUCAGCUGCAGAUUUGCAUAAUGCCCACAUCUUGCUCCUUCUUCCCUGCAACCCCAAAGAACAGGACGUGAUUUUUGACUUGGUGCCUCUCCGUCUCUGAGCAGCAGUCAUUAAAAUGGGACAACAAUUUUAAACCUGAGAUGAGCUGACAGCAUGAAACUUUAUUGGAAUAAGAAGGAUAUUGCCAUUGACAACAAGCCAAGGGAAACUGCAGGGCAAGGGGAUGUCCCCAGGGUCCUCCCUGUCCCCACAGAGCCCUGCCGUGCAAGGCUGGUCAGCCCCACCUAGAUCUCCGUGUGUCCCCCCAUCACACUUCCACCCACAUGGCAAGACACAGCACUGGCAGAUCCCUUGCCUUACUCCCCUUCUGCAGAUGGGGAAACUGAGGCCCCAGGAAGGGAAGUGACUUACUCAAAGGCUCCUUGCCAUUGGGUGGCAGCCUAGAGCCCGGACCCCUUGACUCCUGCCCUGGACUCCCCUUCCAAGUCCACAGGGAGACCCUCAGUCAGAGCAGCAGCCCACCUCACCUCGGGUGACCAGCGCCACGGGCUGUUUGUCCAUUUUAUACAUUCAUGUGUCUGUGUUUUCGCUUUCUCUUUAUAAAGGGCUCGGGA